Molecule: unclassified non-coding RNA, 240 nt
Filed under: soil metagenome
Description: partial contains 5.8S ribosomal RNA, internal transcribed spacer 2, and large subunit ribosomal RNA
Source: RNAcentral
AACCAUAGAAACCUGCGGAGUACCUGCGGAGGGAUCAUUAUAGUAUAUGGAAUCUCCAUUCUAUAAACCCACUCUGCGCAUCUUGUAACUGUUGCUUCCAUGGGACUUGGUUCCGCCACACCGGCUUCACGGCUGGUGAGCGCCCAUGGAAGGAGAAACAAAACUCUUCUUUGAAAUGUAGUCAGUCUGAACAAGUUUUUAUAAACGUUAAAACUUUUAGCAACGGAUCUCAGAUCGGAA